Long non-coding RNA from Nycticebus coucang (slow loris), 1052 nucleotides. RefSeq lists it as uncharacterized. The transcript has 7 exons. The record is from RefSeq and is a predicted model, not a curated record. NCBI's taxonomy places the organism in Eukaryota, Metazoa, Chordata, Mammalia, Primates, Lorisidae.
AAGGCAACAACUUUGAAUCAGACUUUGUAUGAAGAUUUCCAGCUGCCCAGCUUGAUGCUUGAGAAUAUGCAGCAGAACAUUUCAUCUUUGCUCAAAACCAUACAGAAAAGGCACUUCAUGCAGUUGCACCAAAAUGUCACCCUGGAACUCAAGGCUGCUCAAGACUUACUGUCAUAAAUUCAGAAAGCAUACCAGAAGCCACAGGAAGAGUUGGAAGUGUUGAAAGAAAUAGCAAGCCGGCUCCUGGCUGAGCACAGUGGACAGCUGCAGGCGGCCAAGACACUAGUGAAGGACGCAGAGGGAAAGAGCCAGGAAAGCGACCGUCUGCUGCUCGUGGCCAGCGCCAACCUGAGAGAGUUUGAGGUAUUGCAUUGGAACUGAGUAAAUUGAGAAAUACAGCAAACAUUUCAAAAGAACGCUGAUAAAAUUACCAGGCAGACCAAUGAAUCACUCUCGAUACAUAGAGCAAUUCCUGAAGAUGUGGGACACCAAGGAGCCAGAACUAAAGAGCUGGCCACAUCUGUAAACAGGAGCGCUGUGAGCACGCUGGCAGAUGUGGCAGGGGGUUGAGCUGGAAGCUGCUCGACACGUCGACUGGCCUGUCCGGGGUCAACGCCACAUUGCGAGAGACAAACAAGCUCCUGCAUGACUCGAACCUGACCACUCCCAGAAUGAAGACUCUUCCUUCCAUUUUGAUGGGAGUGGGUACUCUCUUGUGGAGAAAACGCUUCGGGCGACUGUGACUCAGAUAAUAAUGCUCUUCAGUACCUUUUCACCCAAUGGACUUCUUCUCUACCUGGCUUCCAACCGCACAAAAGACUAUAUCCAUCGAGUUGGUCCACAGCAGAGUGAAAGUUACUGUUUACCUGGGUUCGGGACCCCUUGCUCUUAUUACAGACAGAUGUUACAACAACAUGACCUGGUACAAAAUUGCCUUUCAGCGAAACCGGAAACAAGGUCUCCUAGCGGUCAUCACGUACAACACUAGUUACAAAGAGACUAAGCAAGGCAAGACUCUGGGAGUAUCUUCUGACCGCAAUCAUCUAGAUAAG